GUGUCAGCAGCCGCGGUAAUACGUAGGUGGCAAGCGUUAUCCGGAAUUAUUGGGCGUAAAGCGAGCGCAGGCGGAUUGAUAAGUCUGAUGUGAAAGCCUUCGGCUCAACCGAAGAACUGCAUCAGAAACUGUCAAUCUUGAGUGCAGAAGAGGAGAGUGGAACUCCAUGUGUAGCGGUGGAAUGCGUAGAUAUAUGGAAGAACACCAGUGGCAAAGGCGGCUCUCUGGUCUGUAACUGACGCUGAGGCUCGAAAGCAUGGGUAGCGAACAGGAUUAGAAACCCUAGUAGUCC
Molecule: ribosomal RNA, 292 nt
Filed under: uncultured prokaryote
Description: partial 16S ribosomal RNA
Rfam family: Bacterial small subunit ribosomal RNA
Source: RNAcentral